CUAAGAAUAUUCCGCAAUGGACGGAAGUCUGACGGAGCGACGCCGCGUGGAUGAAGAAGGCCGAAAGGUUGUAAAGUUCUUUGCUGGGGAAGAAUAACCGCAGGAGGGAAUGCCUGUGGGAUGACAAGAACCGGCGAAUAAGCCCCGGCCAACUACGUGCCAGCAGCCGCGGUAACACGUAGGGGGGCGAGCGUUGUUCGGAAUUACUGGGCGUAAAGGGCAUGUAGGCGGCUUGGAAGGCCUGGCGUGAAAGUCUGCAGCUUAACUGCAGGGGUGCGCUGGGAACUGCUGAGCUUGAGUGACGGAGAGGGAGCUGGAAUUCCUGGUGUAGGGGUGAAAUCUGUAGAUAUCAGGAAGAACACCGAUGGCGAAGGCAAGCUCCUGGCCGAUGACUGACGCUGAGGUGCGAAAGUGUGGGGAUCAAACAGGAUUAGAUACCCUGGUAGUCCACACAGUCAACGAUGUGCACUAGGUGCUGGGGCGGUAGCUUCGGUGCCGGAGCGAAACGUGGUAAGUGCACCGCCUGGGGAGUAUGCUCNCAAGGGUGAAACUCAAGGAAUUGACGGGGGUCAUANCUG
This 578-nucleotide ribosomal RNA is filed under the name uncultured bacterium. RNAcentral describes it as "partial 16S ribosomal RNA". It matches the Rfam family "Bacterial small subunit ribosomal RNA", at positions 355 to 928 of the family's 1533-position model. The record is from RNAcentral.